AAUUUUUUAGGGUUUCAAAUUCCCCCUUUUCUUCAUCCAUCCCAAUCCCUCAUCAUUCUUCAUCUUCUUCAAUGGACAUUUUUCAUUUGAUCUCCAUCAUUCUUCUUCUUCGCAUAUCCUUUUUUUUUUCUUUCUCUUCUUCGUUUCACUUCUUCUUCACAGAACCUCUUCUUCUUCGUUCCUCUUCUUCGACGUUUCAUUAAAAAUCGAAACCAUCAUCCAAAUCAAAAUUCUGGAAAACGGCAUGGGUGAAAAUCUAGACUGAAAUUCAUCCAAAUCAAAAUCGAAAUCUAGACUGAAAUUCAUCCAAACCUUCGUCCAAAUCCAAUUUUAAAGAAGGGGAUGUUUGUAAUUGUGCUGCCUCUCAAUUUGUACCGAUAACAACAUAUUUGACUCCAAGAGAAUAUAUUAGAUUUGACAGGCUUCAAUUGUGAUUGUGGCCUGGAAAUGCAAUGAGAAGAUUAUGGAAUUAUGUCAAUGAAAGUUGGAUUUGCUGAAUGAGGUUUAUGUUGUUAUUGUUGCAGAUUCUAGAGAUGGAUAACUGUGGAUCUGAAAUAAUUUCUUGUUGUUGCUAUUGCUUCUCUCUUUGUGAUUUACUACAAGUGAAUUUCUCUAUUUAACAUGAAGAUGAGUUAGUGGAUGAAUUUGGGAUGAAUUUUUAGACUUUUCAUUAAAAUGAAAUUCUUAGUUUAAA
This 694-nucleotide long non-coding RNA is filed under the name Medicago truncatula (barrel medic). Its description in RNAcentral is "long non-coding RNA (MTRU_LNC000938)". Lineage: Eukaryota; Viridiplantae; Streptophyta; Magnoliopsida; Fabales; Fabaceae. The record is from RNAcentral.